RNAcentral lists this ribosomal RNA (49 nucleotides) under Gloeophyllum sepiarium. RNAcentral describes it as "partial 18S small subunit ribosomal RNA". It matches the Rfam family "Eukaryotic small subunit ribosomal RNA", at positions 1780 to 1828 of the family's 1831-position model. Lineage: Eukaryota; Fungi; Basidiomycota; Agaricomycetes; Gloeophyllales; Gloeophyllaceae. The record is from RNAcentral.
AAGUAAAAGUCGUAACAAGGUUUCCGUAGGUGAACCUGCGGAAGGAUCA